Molecule: ribosomal RNA, 253 nt
Filed under: uncultured bacterium
Lineage: Bacteria
Description: partial 16S ribosomal RNA
Rfam family: Bacterial small subunit ribosomal RNA
Source: RNAcentral
UACGUAGGGGGCAAGCGUUGUCCGGAUUUAUUGGGCGUAAAGAGUUCGUAGGCGGUUCGUCGCGUCGGCUGUGAAAUCCCGAGGCUCAACCUCGGGUCUGCAGUCGAUACGGGCGGACUGGAGUUCGGCAGGGGAGACUGGAAUUCCUGGUGUAGCGGUGAAAUGCGCAGAUAUCAGGAGGAACACCGAUGGCGAAGGCGGGUCUCUGGGCCGAUACUGACGCUGAGGAGCGAAAGCGUGGGGAGCGAACAGG